UACAGGGGGGGCAAGCGUUGUUCGGAAUUACUGGGCGUAAAGGGUCAGUAGGCGGCCAACUAAGUCCGACGUGAAAUCCCAAGGCUUAACUUUGGAACUGCGUCGGAUACUGGAUGGCUUGAAUUCGGGAGAGGGAUGCAGAAUUCCAGGUGUAGCGGUGAAAUGCGUAGAUAUCUGGAGGAAUACCGGUGGCGAAGGCGGCAUCCUGGACCGAGAUUGACACUGAUGAGCGAAAGCCAGGGGAGCAAACGGG
RNAcentral lists this ribosomal RNA (253 nucleotides) under uncultured bacterium. RNAcentral's name for it is "partial 16S ribosomal RNA". It matches the Rfam family "Bacterial small subunit ribosomal RNA", at positions 524 to 776 of the family's 1533-position model. The record is from RNAcentral.